The sequence is a small nucleolar RNA, 125 nucleotides long. Its record names the gene SNORA70. It matches the Rfam family "Small nucleolar RNA SNORA70". From Rfam's summary of the family: snoRNA U70 seems to be exclusive to mammals and is a member of the H/ACA class of snoRNA which contain H (ANANNA) and ACA box motifs. H/ACA box snoRNAs are involved in the conversion of uridines to pseudouridines (5-ribosyluracil) a constituent of structural RNAs (transfer, ribosomal, small nuclear, and small nucleolar). The record is from Ensembl.
UUGCAACCAGCUAAGCUGAACAUGCGCUUUUCAGGGCUUGGUGUGCCAUGGCUGGAACGGCCGUCUCCUCGGUUGCCUGUGUGCGUUGCCUGUGUGUGUCGCUCUAAGGGACCUGGGAGGCAGCC